UCCGCAGUAGCUCAGUGGUAGUAGCGUUUGCCUGUUAAGCAAAAUGUCGUACGUUCGAUCCGUACCUGCGGAGCCA
RNAcentral lists this transfer RNA (76 nucleotides) under Candidatus Cloacimonadota bacterium. Its description in RNAcentral is "tRNA-Asn". It matches the Rfam family "tRNA". From Rfam's summary of the family: Transfer RNA (tRNA) molecules are approximately 80 nucleotides in length. Lineage: Bacteria; Pseudomonadati; Candidatus Cloacimonadota. The record is from RNAcentral.